Molecule: ribosomal RNA, 497 nt
Filed under: uncultured bacterium
Lineage: Bacteria
Description: partial 16S ribosomal RNA
Rfam family: Bacterial small subunit ribosomal RNA
Source: RNAcentral
UCUUCCCUCUUUCUUCGUGCCUAAUACAUGCAAGUCGAGCGAACAGACGAGGAGCUUGCUCCUCUGACGUUAGCGGCGGACGGGUGAGUAACACGUGGAUAACCUACCUAUAAGACUGGGAUAACUUCGGGAAACCGGAGCUAAUACCGGAUAAUAUAUUGAACCGCAUGGUUCAAUAGUGAAAGACGGUUUUGCUGUCACUUAUAGAUGGAUCCGCGCCGCAUUAGCUAGUUGGUAAGGUAACGUCUUACCAAGGCAACGAUGCGUAGCCGACCUGAGAGGGUGAUCGGCCACACUGGAACUGAGACACGGUCCAGACUCCUACGGGAGGCAGCAGUAGGGAAUCUUCCGCAAUGGGCGAAAGCCUGACGGAGCAACGCCGCGUGAGUGAUGAAGGUCUUCGGAUCGUAAAACUCUGUUAUUAGGGAAGAACAAAUGUGUAAGUAACUAUGCACGUCUUGACGGUACCUAAUCAGAAAGCCACGGCUAACUACGUG